This 497-nucleotide ribosomal RNA is filed under the name uncultured bacterium. RNAcentral's name for it is "partial 16S ribosomal RNA". It matches the Rfam family "Bacterial small subunit ribosomal RNA", at positions 28 to 507 of the family's 1533-position model. The record is from RNAcentral.
GACGAACGCUGGCGGCGUGCCUAAUACAUGCAAGUAGAACGCUGAAGAGAGGAGCUUGCUCUUCUUGGAUGAGUUGCGAACGGGUGAGUAACGCGUAGGUAACCUGCCUUGUAGCGGGGGAUAACUAUUGGAAACGAUAGCUAAUACCGCAUAACAAUGGAUGACACAUGUCAUUUAUUUGAAAGGGGCAAUUGCUCCACUACAAGAUGGACCUGCGUUGUAUUAGCUAGUAGGUGAGGUAACGGCUCACCUAGGCGACGAUACAUAGCCGACCUGAGAGGGUGAUCGGCCACACUGGGACUGAGACACGGCCCAGACUCCUACGGGAGGCAGCAGUAGGGAAUCUUCGGCAAUGGGGGCAACCCUGACCGAGCAACGCCGCGUGAGUGAAGAAGGUUUUCGGAUCGUAAAGCUCUGUUGUAAGUCAAGAACGAGUGUGAGAGUGGAAAGUUCACACUGUGACGGUAGCUUACCAGAAAGGGACGGCUAACUACAUG